RNAcentral lists this long non-coding RNA (8899 nucleotides) under Homo sapiens (human). RNAcentral describes it as "HSALNT0377388". The record is from RNAcentral. Lineage: Eukaryota; Metazoa; Chordata; Mammalia; Primates; Hominidae.
AUUAAUAUAAAUAAUUUAAUAUUUAGCCUAUUAUAUAUACAAUUAGAACACUGAUUGUCUCACAGAACUGAAAUAUUGGAAUAAUGUGGUUUGAGGGCUGGUUGUUUUAGAGGCUAUAUUAUCUCAUCAAAGACUGACAUUCUUUCUCCGUCUCAGUCCUGCGAGCAUCAGGUUUGGCUUCAUCUUCUGGGUAGUAGCAAGAUGGCAGUAGCAGCAGUCAUAGGCAUCAUAUUGAGACACAUUGUUCAGAGGAAGAAGACGGAUUGUCAUUCUGCUUUCAAAAAGCACCCAGCAGACUUCCCUAUACAUUUUUUUAAGUAUUUAUUUAUUUAUAGAGACAAGGUCUUGCUCCAUCACCCAGGCCAGAGUGCAGUAGUGCGAUCAUAGCACACUGCAGCCUUGAACUCUAGGACACAAGCAAUCCUCCCCCCUCAGUCUCCUCAGUAGAUAGUCCUAUAGGUAUGCACCACCACACCUGGCUUAUUUUUUUAUUUUUUAUAGAGAUGGGAUCUUGCUCUGUUGUCCAGACUGGUCUUGAACUCCUGGCCUCAAGCAAUUCUCCCACUUGGCCUCCCAAAAUGUUGGGAAUACAGGCAUGAGCCACUGCACCUGGACUCCCUGUAAAUUUCUUUGGCCAGAAUUGGGUCACACACUCACUCCUGAAUUGGAAAGGGAAAUGAAGUGACUAUGCAGGUCCUCUGGGGUGAAAACCAUGCUGGAGUGGAGGCUGCGAUGCCCACCACACACAUCAGUGGCCAGCCUAUGGAUAGAUUGCAAUUAAGGUGCCCUCUGCUGGUGCAUACAGGGGUUAUCCCCAGCCCCAAACCCGCUGAGGCCAAAGGCCAACUUUGACCUGGCAUGGCAGGUGCCAGGACUGACACAUCUGUGCUCUCCUCAGGCAACAAUUUCUGUGGCCCUCAAGCUAUGCCUGGCCUCAGACUGAAGCAUCAGCUUCCAAAAUGAUGCAUUGUUCUCCCUGACUCCCGCACGCUCUGGCUUACAGAGGACCUGAGCAAGCAGAGCCGGCACCCCACCCCGGUGUUGGCCCCUGAAUCGGGGAAGGGAGACUCUGCCUGAGUCUGCUUUUGAUGGGGCUUCGCCAGCCCCGCAGGGCUCAUUUUCUCUGUCUCCUGCUAAAUUCCCUGGCUGCUCCUCCACUGUCAGGUUGCCAAGCCCCGAGUGUCUCCUGGCUCGUCUGCAGCAGGAAAUGGGCCUGACAAUUGCUCUUCCAGAGCCAGUGAUUUUUCAAUAUGUAGUUGCAUGGAUCCCACCCACGCUUCAUCUCCAAAACCCCCACUUGUGUUCAGCUCUGAUUUACUAAGCACGUACUACAAGCCUGGCUCUGUACUCAGCACUGCAGGUCGGGGAAGCAGGCAGGGCACAGAGGAGGCAUCUGAUGUGUUCUCUGCUCUCGGCCUCAUACUCCAGCCAUAGUUGAUGGCCACACACUUGGAAGUGAGCUUCCUAGCCAAGGUGGCCCUGGCGGACUACGGGGCACACAAGUGGUCCAGAUUAAAAAACAAUACUGUGUGGGUUCAGAGAAGGGCAAGGUUGACACAGGCAGUACGUGUGCUGAUUAUUCUGUCUGCCCCCUACUCACCCCUGUGUCCACUUUUCCCUGCCAUGUGUCCUGGAUGCAAUGGCUGCAGGCUGCAGCAACAGGCCCUUUGCCCCAGCUUCCAGUGGCCUUGCUGGUGGAGCAGUGGGCAGGAGGUCACAGAGCAGAGGAAAAGUGAGGCCGGGGUUUAUUUUCCCUGCUUCCUCCCUGUUUUGCUGUGAUUCUGGCACUGGCAGGUUCCUCCAGAGCUACAGCUCUGGCAGGACUAGGGGAGCUUGAUGGCUUCCUGCUGUUGCUGGUCCCCAUUUCCCUACUGGGUUCCCUGAGCCUCCCCACUCUGGAAGCAGCCCCUUUUUUCUUCAGAGUUGUCUUGAGGUUGUUUGCAUGAUGACUGGCAGACAAUGUUUAGGAAGUACUUCCUGCAGGAGCAGCACCCGCAUCUGGGCUCCUGAGAUGAGCUGAAGCUGGAUAAGCAGAGAAGAGGAAAAAGGGCUUUGUAGGGGCAGCACAGCCCCAGCAAUGUUCACGAAGAGAUGAAGUGAGCACUGGGAGACACUGCCUAGGCAGGGAGGGAAGGUGGAAAACAAGGCGGAGGCUCCCCGUGGAAGCCCUUGACUGCCAGUCCAGGGAACUUGGCCUUUGUCCCAUAGGCUACAUGGAGCUGCUGGAAGAGUUGCUUGGUGCUAAUAAAGCGAAAGUUUUGACUUUGUUAUUAAUGGCUUUGUUUUGGUUUUUAUUUCUACUUUUUCCUUGUUAUUGAUUUUAUUAUCAUCAUUAAUAACUACUAUGUAUUUAAUCCUUACUGUUAUGGGUUGAAUUGGGCCCCCUUUCAUUCGUAUGUUGAAGUCCUAACCCCCAGUCCCUCAGAGUGUGACCUUAACUGGAGACAGGGUCUUUGAAGAGUUAAAAUGAGAAUGGGCCCUAAUCCAAUAUGACUGGCGUCCUCACAAGAGGGAGAAAUUUGGACAUGGAGACACACAUAGAGAGAAGAUGAUGCAAAGGGAGAGGAAGACGGCCACAUCCACAAGCAAAGGAGAGAGGCCAGGAAGAGAUCCUGCCCUCACAGCCCUCGGAAGGAAACAACCCCCCAGCAGCUUGAUUUUGGACUCCUAGCCUCCAGAACCAUGAGACAGUAAGUUUCUGCUGUUUAAGUCUGUGGCUUCUUAUGGUAUUCCGAGGAAACUGACACAUUCAUCGUGGAACCGUCCUGUGCUGAGCAGUACAUCAUCAGACGUGUUCUCACUGCAGCUGCAACUUGUGGGCAAAACCUCUGGCCUAUCUGUGUCCCAGCACACUCUCAUUCUGGCCAUGGCACCUAGCACUCCGACACUUUCCCUUGGUUAUUAACAUAUUUGUUUACUGAGCGCCUAUCAUGUGCCAAGCACCAUUCUGUGUUCUGGGGAAACAGACAAAAACUCUUGCCAUCUUGGAGCUGAUUUUUGAUGAUUCUGUAUUUAUUUCCUGCCUGCCUCCACCAGAGGAAGAACCACUCGUGAGGGGGGCUGUGUCUGUUGCACUUACCACGGUGGAACACCUGUGGAAAGCAUGCUAAGGAAACUAAGAGUAAAACCUUGACUCCCCUUGCCCAUUUUGGAUUCAGUCACGUCUGAAGACCUUACUCACUUAAAAGACCCCUGGGCCUGUUGAUGAGGGCAGCUGCGUUCCCAAGUAAUAGUUGGUCCAAGGCCCUCUGGCCAUGGUGUGAGGAACAGGGCUUGGUGGCCUCGGGGGAAGAAGGCAGCUGGUGUGUGGUGUGGUGGACUGCUGUCACUACCCUCCUUGCUCAAUUUGCAGCCCUGAAAUUUGAGCUUUCAACUGCACUGUCUGCUGGAGGCAGGAAGGAAAGGAAAGAUGUUACCAGCUUUCUGGAGGCCCAAGUUGUGGGACAUAGAAAGCAGGUUCUAGAGGCUGAGAGAAUCCUUCCACCCCAUUUUCUGAGAAUUCUCACAGACAUUAUUUCCCCAUGCUAUCCUCUCUUGUUCCUCCCAAAGUCCUAAGACCCUUCCUGCCAGCCCCCUUCUCUGCCUCAUCUACUCUCUGUGUGGCCUGACAGUGCAGCUCCAUUUUCAGGUCUCAUGCCUUCUUUUGAGCCCUGUGAUCCUAAGCCUGGUCACCUUGACAGUGUAAUUAUACCUGAGUUACUCUGAACCCUGCCAGAUGUGGGAUUUCUCAGCCCACAACAACCAGGGGUGAAGAGAGCUGAUGCUCACAUAAGUUAGCGGGGACACCAGCUUCAGGGUGAUGUGCUCUCUUCCCACACCCACAUGCCAGACCCUGAAAUUUGGACAGCCAGCCCUGCUGACCAGGGAUCAAACACAAGCCCUCAGCAAGCUCGAUGCUAGCUGUGGGUAUCUUUCUCUGCCAUGAAAAACCAUGUCCCAGUAAAACCAUGGUCCCAUGUAAAAGUCAUGUCCCUUCUGGCCAAGUAUGAAAGUCUGUGAAUGAUUCAUACACUAAGAUUUUUUUAACUAGAGUGGAUUCUAAGAUACCCCAUAAUAAUGCCUGUCACACUCACUUUUAUUCCGAUUUGCUUUCCUGGGUGGGAAAGAAAAAGAGUAGGAGGCAGCUGUAGGUGGGGAAUUGUGCACAAGAGUGGGCUAGUCCACAGAAGUAUGCCACUCUUAUGACCAUCGUCAUCUUGUGUGUUGUGGCAGAAAACAUUGAGAACCAAACCUCUUUCAGGUUGUUAAGAGAUGGACUUCUGGAAGAUCCGUUAACAUAGUGCUUUGGAAACCAGCUUGGAAAAUGUGACACGUUGUCACUUUGAUCUGCUAAGCAGCUUACAAACAUCCUCCCGCUCCUUCCCUCCACUCUCUCCAACUUCGCUUCAGCCCCACCAUCUGAAUUUUCCAAGUGAGAUCACAGACCCAGAGUGGGUUGGCUUCAGACUCUAGGAGAGUGUCAAGGGCAGAUGUGAGAUUUGGGGACAGAAACCAUCAGUCCUCCAAAAAGUCUCCCAUGUCCCUUGAUCUUUAGCAAUAUCAAAACCCAGCCCAUCAUAUGGCAACUAACUCCUCAAUUACUCAGAGCUCCAACAUUGUCUGUGGGAGCAAUUAUAGAAAGUGUGGUGCGGGAAAGACUCAGAAGCCUCCUGGCUGGUGGGGACGUGGUCUUUCCCUGGGCUGAACUCCUGCCCCUCUAAGAAUGUAGAUGAACUCAGGCCACUUUGCCAGAAUAAAAAUAGGCCCCAGGGGCCAGGGGCCAGGGACCAGAGCUGCUUCCCUGGCGGUUUCGAAUGUGCACUGUGAAAUGAAAAGCCCAACUCAGGCUCAGUCUCUUUUCUAGGAAGUAUCAGCAACCCCUUCUAAUUCUCUGUACUGCAACUUUUGUUGCCAUGUCUGAGAGUAAAAUCUUAGGUUGCCCAACCUUCCCCCAGUGAAGCAGGAAGUCUUUGGGGGACACAUCAGGAUUUAUUUGCUAAGGCCCCCAAAUGUGUGAGCUUAGGCCCCCAUCCCUGUGCCUGGUAGCCGUGGAGUUAACGGUCCCAUUUUUAUUUGUGUCUCUGCUGCCUGUCAUGCAAGAGGCAUGAUGAAUGCCCUGGACCUCCCGUGGUGGGCGGAGGCGGUGGGAAGCGGGGGUGAAGGAUGAACUGAAGCGGGAAAGAAACGCAGGGCAGGUUCGUAAAUAAACAAGGGUUGAGUCGGAAGACCCGGGGCCUCGCUCCUGCCGCGGCUUUCCGGGCUUCGACGAGGGGAGCUCCUGAGGCUCCCUCUGGAGCAGGCUGGGGGAGGCAGUCAUUGUUUUUGGAUUUCACUAAGAUGAACGCCAGAUGAUUUUCCAAGGGCUGAUUUCACAGCACAUUUGCCCCAUCUGAGCAAUCACUCUCCGCAACAGUUGGAUUUCCAUUUGGCGUUUACCUCGUGUGCCCGGAAUCAGGACUGUCUGCCUCCUUGGGGUCGAAUCGUUUUAUUUUCUUUGGGGCUUGGCCAAACCCUUUCCGUUGGCCUUGGUUCCAUCUAGCCAUUUCUGUUUGUGUGCAGACAAGACCAGACCAGGUUCACAGAGGUUUCCAGAGUGCAGUGACAGUGCCCAAUCCUGGAAGAAUAUAAAACCUGGGGAGAGAAUCCACCAAACUGUUUUAAUUUCAGAGACAGGUACUUAGCUACAAUGGAGGAUGAAAGCCAGACCCAUAGUCAACUGGGCCUAGGAUUUCACUGAAACCAAGAGGAACUUGCAUCCAAACUGGAUUCUAGAAGAAAAGGAGAAGUAAGGAAGCUGAAGAGUGCCAGUCCCUUGGGGAUUGAAGCACUUGAGCAGUUCCAUUUGCUGCAAUUCUCUGUGUCUCUGGACCGUGGGGAUCGAUUUUAAUCCCUCAGUCUCUCCACUGCCUCCUACUCACUACCUCAAGAUCCUUGAUUGGAAAAAGCAAAUGAGGGUCUGGAAAGAGAUCAUUUCCUCAGAAGACCUGAGGAGAAAAUGCAUGAUUAGAAUAGGUGUCUGUUUUCUGAGAAUGUGAGCACCAUUAUGCUUAGGCAUCAUUUCCAAGCAAAAAGAAUCCAUGUUCGAAAUGUCGAGGUUGUUGUCUCCCAGGAAAACACAGCUGCUGAGUGAUGGUCCAAGGCCAGUGGAAGUGUAGCAGCACUGGUCGCAGACAAAACCUGUCAGACACUGGUUUUACGAAGAGGCUUUAGUCAGCUGGGAGCAUCGGUAGACUUGCGUCUCAAGGUCCAAGCUCCCUGAACUCAAGAUUCCUGUCCCUUUUAAGGGCUUACAACUCUAAGGAGUCCAUGUGAAAGGGUCGUGAUACAUUGUGCAAGAGGGGGCUAUGUGAUGGGGGCUGCACGCACCAGUGAUCAGAACAGAACAGAACUGAACCAAACAGGGAGUUACACAAUGCUUCCUCAUACAAUGUCUGGAAUCUAUAGAUAACAUAAGCGAUUAGGUCAGGGGUCGAUCUUUAACUACCAGGCCUGGGAUGUGCUGCCAGGUUGUUUGACUAUUGAAUUUCACUUCUGCCUUUUCUUUAACUCCUACUUUUUCUUUUCUUUGAGGCAGAAAUUAGGCAGAAGACAAUAUGAGAGGUGGUCUCCUUCCUUAUUCCCCACUUUGAGAAUCUCACUUAUUAGUGGGAGUUCUCAUCUUCAUCCUCACUAUCCAGGUUUUCUUGUAAGACAGAUCAAUAGUAAUUCAUGUAGUACACUUGUGCUGAAGUAUUUUGAUGGACUAAGGUAGUAACAAAACUUUUCAUUACUUGAAGGAGCAAGGGCAGCACACAGGGAAGCAACAAGCAGGUUCCUAUUACUAUUAUAAUUCCUAUUAUAAGAGUUUUAAAUCCUCCUAGCACUGGAAACCAUUUUCCAAACAUGGACUCAGGAUCAAACCCAUGCCACACCUGCAUGGGCACAUGUGCCAGCUUUGUAUAUAUCUUUAUGUCUUCAACUACUUGCCCUUGGUCGUCUGUAUGCAGACAGCAAUUGGUUAGGUUAAAUUUUCCACAGACCCCUUCUUCAGCUGCUAGCAAGUAGUGUAAGGCUAAUCUAUUUUGAUAGAUGGCAUUUCUCAUUUGGGUUUCUUGAUGGGCUAAAACAGUCAAAGCUCUGCCCGUUUCAUUAGUGAUUAUUUCUAAGACAGCUUGUAACCAUAUAAUCCGGUUGAGCAUGUAGAUGGGGGUUCAGUAUCCCUAUGAGCUGUUUUGUGCCCAUGUGGCAGGACUAUAGUACUGUGUGAUUCUUUCAGGGGGCCGCUCAUCAUCUUUCCAGUCGCCAAUGGCUAUGCUCUUUUCUCAGGAAGCGUAGACAGGGAAGCCUAGGAGCUCACCUGUUUUUAUGGGCAGUAGGAAAAAGGAUGGCUUAACGGUCCUAACGACACAACUACCUGCCCGUUGGUCAGGUAGCUUAGUGUAGGCUCUAUGCCCGCAUAUCCAGUAUAGUCCAGCUGGAGCUGCCCAGUCCCAGGGAGAUUUUGGGUGGGCCUAAACAAUUUGCAACUUAGGAAACUUACUAAAUGGAUUCUUUUUAGUAUGGUUUAGACCUUACCAGGUGACUGUUCUUAAUUUGAUUUUUAAAACUGUGACCAUAGGGGGCUCAGAUGGGUUAUAACACACAUCAGGCUGGUCACUUCCUGGGCUACAUACCUUGUACUGGGUGGCAUUAUACAAACAAGUCCUUUUUAGAGCUCCAGCACAUUUAUAAUAACUAUAGAACAAAAAGACAGUUUUAACUUUUUGACCUAACUUAGUGACCUGAUGUAUACACUGGUAACAGUCCUUAGUUUGCGGAAGGUCAGUUGAAGUCCCUACUGUACAAGUCCAAAAUAUAAGGAAAAUAAGUCCCAUGGUGAGUUUCCUCAUGCUUCGGCCAUGCAUGGACCAGUCAGCUUCCGGGUGUGACUGCAGCAGGGCUUGUUGUCUUCUUCAGAGUCACUUUGCAGGGAUUGUCCAGGCUUGGUCUCGCCUCCCAGGUCUCAGGUGCUGUGGGUUUCAUGCGGCUGUAGUGGAUCCAGGCUGGGAUUCCUUCUACUUUCACGGCUGUGGGAGUGGUCAAGACGACAGUCUGGGGUCCUUUUCACUGUGGUUGCAAGGGGGCUGCAUUCUAAUCCUUGAUCUACACCCGAUCGCCUUUGCUGUCUUCUGUACCAAGUCAGCGACAAACGCUGGCCCGUUGUCUGAGCCAAUUCAUAAAGGCAGUCCAAACCUAGGGAUGAGAUCUCCACAUUUGGGUAUCUCGGUGAAGUCUACUUGGAGAUCUUCAAAGGAGGCUGCUCCAUAAGCCUGUAUACCAGGCAGGACGGUUGGACCUUGCCCAGCAUUGUGCUGCCAGGAGAUGACACACUGCUGCACUACUGUUUUGGCAAGGGCUGACAGACACGAGAUGUAGAAGUACUGGCCUAACAACUUUUCAAGUGACUCUUGGCCUACGCGGGUGGUCUCAUGCACAGCCAGUACGACUGUGGUUCCUAGCACUUGUGGCAUGGCUAUUCUUCUGUCCGAUAACUGGAUCCAUCCUUCUUUUAUUACCUGCCCUCCCUCUGGUUGAUGAAAUGCCAGGGUGAAAGGGAUAGCCAAUUGGACUAAAGCACAAGUGCCACUCCAGUUAUUCGGCAGAGUGUCCAGUAAAGGUCCACCAUGAUACCACCACACAUCCACUUGGGGAUGAACAAAGGGUUGACUUAUUGGUAAGCUCUGGAAAAUUCUUAAGCUCACUGCAUCCCUUCAGGUCUCCAAGGAGUGCUAAGUUUCCUCCCUGUCAUGAGAGACACGAAGUGAACUUAGUGUUGGGAGACAGAAGCUGGAUGGCCCUCAGGGGCGACCCGCAAGGUGCUGAACUUCGGGAUAUAGCAGAGAGAGCUUGGCAUGACUUAUUACUCCAGGCUGUAGAAUCCUGGAAAAGAGCUACCAUGCAG